UUAAACUCAAGCUUUGCAGAGCUUGAGUUUAAUUGCCAUAGCUCUUAAUAGCUUCUUGCCCUUGAACCCUGACCUGGACUUCUCUGUGUUGCAGGUGAAAUAGAACUGGCAGAUGAAAAUGGCCAAGUGAAGAAUUUGCUCCAGAAUCAGGACCAGUACGCAUCACAGCUCCUGAGUGAGAGGGAGUUUUGUAUUUUACUCAAAGUCACACGUACGUACAUUUGCAAGUCUCUACAUUGGAGAUGCUUUUGUUUUCCUUUGUAGCUAAAGAAAUACCCACACACAGGUGAAGGUUGAAAGUUGAAGAGGAUUUUCACCCUGGAUUCUCAGCUUGAGUCUCUGUGCAUCUUUGUCUCCACUCAGAGACAGUGGGACCUAAUGAUGUGGAAAUUAAGGCUGCUUUUGAAAACAGUGUAGUGGAAGUCAGGAUCCCCUCCAUGUGUGACAGAGAUUUCCUCACAGUCCCAGUUCUACCUGCAGGAAGUGUCCUUCCAAAAGUUUCUGGGUUUAAUGCUGUGCUUCUAUUCCUCACAGGACAUGAAGGCUCCCAAGAAGCUGUUUUUACACCACUGCUGAAAGAUCACAGCAUUGUCACUCCAAAGUUCCUGGGUAGGUAACCUGAAGUGGAUGUUUCUAUAAACUUGUUCUCAGGCAUGAGAAGAGAGAAAACCAUCAGUUGUACUUCUAGGGUAGGAAUAAAAGCCUGAAUUAAAGAAGAAGGGGGUUAAUUUGUAGCCAAAAUGGGAAGUCUUUCCUUCCAGAACUAAAAAAACUAAACCUAACUUCUUUCUUGUAAGAAGAAAAUGCUUGUUAAUAUCAUCCAUUGUGCAUACCAUGGAAGUAAAAGAAUUACUUGUGCUCUUCUCUUAUCAGUUCCUUUUUCUUUUCUCUCUGCAGCUAAAUUGGGGAAGAGGGAAGAUUCAAAAGUAUCACCUACCAGAGUGAAAUCCAGAAAAUAUGGCAAACAAGCAACCUUGCCUUUGGAGGUUCCACCCACAGAAGGUAAAAGGAGUCAUUCACCACAGGGCAACAAGAAUAAAACCGUGGCUUCCUCUUCCAAAGAAACUGGGACAUUCUAAUCAUGGCAAAUCAAAGGAGUUGCUUGGUACUGAGUUUUGGAGGCCAUCUCUAGGCAUGUUAGUGUAUUCCUUCAUGAAACACACAAUUUGUUGGCUUUUUUUCCAAAAGCGUACAGUAGUAAAUGCCUUGUUUCUUUGAGAAAAGAAUAGUCUCACUGAAAUAGUGGAUCAGUGAGUCACUUUGAAGCCGGGUACAUGUUUAAUAAGUAUGCCAAAUGAAGCCUUGGUUCUUGCAGACACUGCGCUGUUGUUGAAUCACGGAAAUUGGCAGAAGGACAAGCUGCAACACCGGGUUGGUUCAUCUUUAACUCAGUAGUUUUACUUUUGGAAUUAUUGAAGUAGUCAAUUAACACAUCCAUAGUACUUUCAUCUCAACUUUUACCUGACCAACUUCUUUAAAUAACUUUGUAGCUCCUCGGGUGGGUCAUAUCUUACAUGGACUGGACCCUGGUCCAUCUUUCACAUACCUGUUGAAUCAUCAGUCCUCCUGAUUUGUUGUGCUAAGUAUUUGUAUAUAUACAGCACAAUGAGGAACGUGUUAAAACUGCAUAUAAAGUUUUAGAUAAUCUUGUAAAAGCUAUAGAUGAGUCUUUCUUCUUCAAGGUUCCUCUUAAAAAAAAAAAAAAGGGCUGUAAAAUCUAAUCAGUGAGAACAUGACUUUUCUCUGUACAACACCCAGUGAUACAUUGAUCUCAGACAAAUGCACAAACAAUUUUGAAGUUGCAGCACUUUUGUUGUUGAAAAUAUUUUGAAUUAAACAAAGAGAACUCCAAAAUGUAUUUUUUAACAGUGGCCCCCAAACAAGGAGAGAGCUGUUGGGACUUUCCAGUAAGAUAUUCCCUACAUGCUGGUGAUUGUACAGUGACGUUCAUCUGUGUCUGUUUAUGGGAGAACUCUGUGACAAUCUUGAAUCUGUGACAACCUUGGCUGUAUUUAUCUGUUCCUGUCACAGGAAAGUAGUAUCCGUAUUUUCUACAAGGAACUGAUGCUCAGGGGAAGAUCUCAGUCAUCCAGCAAUUCAAAUUCCUGCUGCUGUCUUGGGAAUUAAAAGCAGCAACUAAUUUCUGUUAAAAUCAAGGAGGAAAUCUGUGGUGAUGGAGAUGCUGUUUUUCUGCUUCAAAUGUGUUCUGUAUAACGCCUAUUCUAUGUGUGUCAUUGGUUCUGAUGUAUUUUGAUACAUGCCUGGAAUCCAGUUAGCAUCUCUUUUCUGUGGAUUUGAAGAAGUAUUAAGACACAUAAUAUUUUGAUGAUACAGAAACAGUCCCCAUAGAUGAUGUCACCAACUUGCUGUGUUGCAAAAGGCAUGAAGCAAUGGAGCUCCAAAAUGAGAUCGUGCUGAUACCUGGGAAGUGCAGAACUAGUGUCUGCUUUGGAUAUGUAGGGAUCUAAAAUCUGCUGGGACAUGGCAAUCUCCCCCUCACCCAUCUGUCAGGCAGUGUAAGUUCUGACAAAUCAAAGCCCAGAAUAGCAGAAAACAUGCACUGUUCUCUGUGAGAAAUCUGCUGCAGCCCAUCGCUCCUACACCUCUGAGCAAUAAAGCAAACAACUCUAUAGUUCCA
Molecule: long non-coding RNA, 2638 nt
Filed under: Calidris pugnax (ruff)
Lineage: Eukaryota; Metazoa; Chordata; Aves; Charadriiformes; Scolopacidae
Description: lncRNA (ENSCPUG00000014071.1)
Source: RNAcentral